CUGGACACCCUGAUUGGACACCAUUGUUUAUUUUCCGCCCAUGUGGAUAAAAGGCUUAACUUAAAGAUGUCCAUAUGUCUUUUGGCGGCCUCUUACUGCUGCUCAUCCAAGACCCCACUGCUGUCCUUAGGGGCCCAACUUCCAUUAAUAUUAAGCAUGACAUCCUCUACAGCAGAAGCUCCAGAGUGGUUUUCCAUGUUGAUUUAUGCUAUGAGCGGUUGGUUCCUCCGCUGCAUCCUGCACCUCCG
This is a long non-coding RNA of Bombina bombina (fire-bellied toad), 248 nucleotides long. RefSeq lists it as uncharacterized. NCBI's taxonomy places the organism in Eukaryota, Metazoa, Chordata, Amphibia, Anura, Bombinatoridae. The record is from RefSeq and is a predicted model, not a curated record. The transcript has 4 exons.